Cyprinodon tularosa is the source of this 824-nucleotide long non-coding RNA. RefSeq lists it as uncharacterized. The transcript has 4 exons. The record is from RefSeq and is a predicted model, not a curated record. NCBI's taxonomy places the organism in Eukaryota, Metazoa, Chordata, Actinopteri, Cyprinodontiformes, Cyprinodontidae.
UCUGAACAGGUCCACUCUAAUCUUUCAGGCUUGAAAUCUGAAAAGAAAAAAUUGUAAUUUCAUGAGUCACUAAAUGGCUUUAAAGAGCAAUUACUUUGAGCCAAAACAUAGAUAUAUGUAAUAAUCCUGCACAGCAAGUCCUGAUUUUCUCUCAGUUACGUUACUACCCUGUGGGAUACAUUUUUUCUUUUUUGAGUUUUUACAGCACUAGUGGCUCGUUUUUCUGACAGUAGGCUGACAGGAAAGGAGGUGAGACAUGCAGCAAAGGACCACAGGCCAUAUUCGAACCCGGGUCGGCCGUGUCGAGGACUAAGGCCUCCGUACAUGGGGCGUGCACUGCACCACCUGCACACCCAUCAAUGAGAGUUUUUACGGACAUCAGUGACAAAAUGACUGGGAGUCGUACAGACGUCAGUGAGUUUGUGCUUAUGUUUGCGUGUCCUUGGCUGAAAGGGUAUAAAGCCAGGUGAUCAGUCAGAAGAAAAUAAGAGAAAAUACAGAAAUCUUUGGUGGAGAGAGCAACAGGAAGUCAAAGAGCUGAACGAGCUACGAGAAAAGAAAUCAGAGGAAUGCGUCUCUUGUUGCCAUUGGUGGUGAUGGUAAUGGUGAGCGUGGCCAGGGCGGCACUUGGUCGAUGCUGGGAAAGCCCCAGCUGUCAGGAACUCAACUCUGAGAACAACACAAUGGACUGUUUUCAGCUCUGUGGAAUCGACCCUCAUGAGUUGACCACCAUCCUUGCCAGUGUUUACCCGCAGCCUUCUCUAUCAGUCUCUCUUUCUCCUUCACCCAGUCCUCCCUCCUCCUCUCAAACCAAAGCCUCCUAC